UACGUAGGGGGCAAGCGUUAUCCGGAUUUACUGGGUGUAAAGGGAGCGUAGACGGCAGGGCAAGUCUGGAGUGAAAGGCAGGGGCCCAACCCCUGGACUGCUCUGGAAACUGUCCGGCUGGAGUGCAGGAGAGGUAAGUGGAAUUCCUAGUGUAGCGGUGAAAUGCGUAGAUAUUAGGAGGAACACCAGUGGCGAAGGCGGCUUACUGGACGGUGACUGACGCUGAGGCUCGAAAGCGUGGGGAGCAAACAGG
This 253-nucleotide ribosomal RNA is filed under the name uncultured bacterium. RNAcentral's name for it is "partial 16S ribosomal RNA". It matches the Rfam family "Bacterial small subunit ribosomal RNA", at positions 524 to 776 of the family's 1533-position model. The record is from RNAcentral.